This 3381-nucleotide small RNA is filed under the name Rattus norvegicus (Norway rat). RNAcentral describes it as "uncharacterized LOC102552083". The record is from RNAcentral. Lineage: Eukaryota; Metazoa; Chordata; Mammalia; Rodentia; Muridae.
UAUAAUGAACACGGCCGCACCACAAGUAAAGUCUGAGGAAGGACAGAAAACGCUCUGGAGGCUGGUUCAGUCACCCGUUAUCAGUAAAAAUGGUUGACCCCUAACAAUAUGUACAAAAAUACAAAAUGUAAAUAAGAAAUUCAAACUUUCCUUUUAAAGUAUGUUUAAGAAAAAUAGCAGGGCCUGGGAAGCUCUGGUUCUCUUCUCCUCCCAUGUUGCUAAUUCAUGUCGUGGUUUGGGUGGGGCGGUGGAGAGCAUAUGUUAUCUGUGGGUGGCUCUGCCCUCUGUGGGCGGGCGUGGCCUGCUUCUCUACUCGAAGAAGAUCACAUUAAAAUUCUGAGACUGGAAGUGGAGGGUGAAUAGGUCACGGUGUGUAAAGUCCUUGGUGGUGAUCUCGGAGCUGGUAUCCACUGCGGAGUCUGACAUGGUGGGGCACGCCGAUGGUCCGGUGCUGCGAAUAAGGAAUUAGUCGAGCUCGAGGACUCUGGUGAGAAAGCUACCGGAGUCCAGGUUGGAAAAGGCAGUAGGCGGCGAAGGUGGCUGCAGUGAGCGCAGAGCAAAGAUGGCUUUUCAGUGGGGACUGGCUUUUGAGUAGCCAGCGGGGGCAUAAUGGGCAUCCUUAUGUGCUCAGAGACAAGUCUCUGAAGAGAAAGCUUAUUGCCCAGAGUGAUGGGACCAGAAGGUUGUUGCAGGAGCAUGAACCUGCAAAAGAAGCCCAGAAUAUUCUCUGGCUUCCAGUAUCAGGGGCAAGGCUUGUCUGUGGCCACACCACCCUGGGCUACCCAGUCUUGUUUGAUUUCAUUCCUAAGCAAGAUCAGACCUGGUUAGCAUUUCACUGGGAGACAGAAGCUUUCGCUUCCAUGCACACUCCUAACAUCGGCCAUGCAGCCUCCUGAGUCUGCAUUGUCAACCUCCAGAACUAGGAAACAAAUAAACCUAGAUUUGGGGGGAGUUUUUAGGGGGCAGUGUUUUGCUUUGCUUUGGUAUGGUAUGGUUUGGUUUCAUUUGGUGGGUGCGUGGGUGGUUGGUUGGUUGGUCAUCGGUAGCCAUGAACAGCUGACAAGGAGCAAAACGAUGCAGUCAUCAGUAGUGGUUACAAUGUGGAUCAGGAAACUGGGGUGCGGAGCAAGGAAGCAAAUUCCCCACAUGAGGCUUCUUCCUGCCUGCGUGUCUGACUUGUUCCUAUGCUGGUCCUUAUCUGGUUCACCCCGCCCCACCCACCCGCCAUGACUGUUUCCAGUUCCCUUGUGUUCCAUGCCCUCUCCAGCCUCAGCAUCUCCGGUAAGACCCAGAAUUUCAUGUAACCUAAUUUCACUUCCCGGCUUGGGAUGUGGCUCAUCCCUCCUUCUCAGCCCUGGAAUGCCGCCUAUCUAGUCACAACUCCCCUUCGCAGGAUUACUGAACGAAACAGAAGAACGACACUUCUUCUGUCUAGCACCAGAACCAAGGAAAUGAUCGUCAAAGUAUUUCCAUGCUGUAAUCCCCAGGACAAAGUCUAACUUCAGUUCAAUUAAAACUGACUACUAUAUCUAGGGCCAUGGGUAAGGUAUGUCUGCGAAAGAUAAAAUUAUCACCUUCAAAGUUCUAGCAGGAAAGAAGAUGAGUUUUAAAAUAGCCUAUAGUUCAGGACAGAAGAAAAAAAAUAAGUGCCGUAUGAAACCCACAAAAGGCAAAAUUAGUUUCAGAUGAUGAAGAGAUCCUACCAAGAUGAUAAUUAGCAAGCGCCUUGCAGGAGAAUGGCUGCUUGAAAUUGACUUGGAAAGAAUUGAUAGAAUUUCAAUAAUUGGAAAAGGAGAAUAAGAGAAAGGCGCUCCAAGUGGAGGGACUAGCCUCUAGAAAAGGGGCAGAGAAUGGAAACCUGGAGUACGUUUAAGGACAAAAUGACAGUUGACUGUUUGACAGGAAUGUCGAGGAAGUUUUAGAAACGCAACUCUGGAGCUGGGCAUGACAGCACACGCUUGGAUGCAAGGUAGGAGGGUCGUGAGUUCAAAGACAUCCUGAACUACAUAGUGAGUUCGAAGCCUGUAUUGUACAGUAAGACCCUGUCUCAAAAAGGUAGAGGGGGCAAUGAGGGAGGAAGGGAAAAGACAGAAAAUGGCAGGAGGGAAGAGGGGAAGGGAGGAAAGGUCCCAAAUAGAGCAAUGUGCCCAUAACUUUCGGCUAGGAAGGGUUUGGGAUUCUAAGGAUGUAGAUAUUAUUUCAUCUAAUGGCUUCCCAAAAGAAAAUUUACUUACAAAAUAUACCUCAAUCUUUUCUGGUCCACAGCUAUGGAUGGACCUCCUGUGGUUGCCCUAAUUCUAGCAUUCUCAGGCCAACGGAGGCUGAGGCCACGGCCCAUGGUCACUGUGUCAGGCGAGGCUCUGACUAAGAAAGCAAGGAAAACAAGCGGAUGUGCUUGGGCUUCAGUUUCUUUUAACUACACCAUUCCCUGUUCUUAGCCCAGGAUGCCGUCAUCCAGGACUCUGAAAACUCUUCUUUGUCACGAGCUUAGGCAGAAAGUCUCUCCAGCCGUGGGUCAGAAUAAGGAAGACCAGGUUCAAGGAGGCCAAGGCAUGAACCUAGAGUCGCCCAGCUGUCUCACUAGCAGGUGUCUUCCAGACUUGCUGAUUGUUCACAAUGGAGCUAAUGGAUGUGCUGCCCAGACAAGUUCCAGGUUCCCCUUAAACAGGUUUUUCACAAGCUUCAAACCAAUUGAGGAGUGUGAAGAAACCAGCGAGAGACACUCCACCCAGCAGCCACUCGAACCAACAGUGGUUUCUGCAGACAGCAGUCUAAUCUCUUGGUCUGGCAAGGCUGGGCAAGAGAUCAUUUUCCAGGCUCACCUGCAAUGCUGAAAUUGGAACAUCUUUUCCCACGCAUGUCCUCAGUACUAGAAAUAGUCCCAGUUCCUGACAUAAAGCAAUCGAAGCCCUAGGGAUUCCCGCAUGAUGGUCAUGUGUGCUUUCGUUCUGCCUGGGCCCUGUGUGUUCACACCCCAGUUUAGGGUGCGAUAUGAACUCAAGCUUCGGGAAAUGCUGGGAUAGCUAGGCGGGGGAUGGGAGGCUUCAGGGGGGGAGUUUGUGGCCAGAGGGAUGGGAUUUUCCAUCCCCACUUCAGGCUCAGGGGAUGGAAUGAAGGCCAGAGACUGGGUUCAGAUCAAUCUUCUCUAUGAAGUACUACCUCCCUAAGAUCCCAAAUGAUAACAUCAGAGAGCUUCAAUCACACAGUUGACAAUCACAUGACGGUCUCAGCCAAGAGAGUCUCAGUCUCAACUCACUGGGAACAGCAGCUAUGGAGCAAGGGCCCUUCUAGGUCACACAUAUACAUUUUCUUCUGACUGUUCAUUUUUAUUCUUUACAAUAACCAAAAAUAUCAAUAAAUAAAACAUUUUCCAAAGUCUUA